CCUACGGGCGGCAGCAGUGAGGAAUAUUGGUCAAUGGACGAGAGUCUGAACCAGCCAAGUAGCGUGAAGGAUGACUGCCCUAUGGGUUGUAAACUUCUUUUAUAUGGGAAUAAAAUGUUCCACGUGUGGGAUUUUGUAUGUACCAUAUGAAUAAGGAUCGGCUAACUCCGUGCCAGCAGCCGCGGUAAUACGGAGGAUCCGAGCGUUCUCCGGAUUUAUUGGGUUUAAAGGGAGCGUAGGUGGAUUGUUAAGUCAGUUGUGAAAGUUUGCGGCUCAACCGUAAAAUUGCAGUUGAAACUGGCAGUCUUGAGUACAGUAGAGGUGGGCGGAAUGCGUGGUGUAGCGGUGAAAUGCUUAGAUAUCACGAAGAACUCCGAUUGCGAAGGCAGUUCACUGGACUGCAACUGACACUGAGGCUCGAAAGUGUGGGUAUCAAACAGGAUUAGAUACCCGUGUAGUC
This 460-nucleotide ribosomal RNA is filed under the name uncultured bacterium. Its description in RNAcentral is "partial 16S ribosomal RNA". It matches the Rfam family "Bacterial small subunit ribosomal RNA", at positions 338 to 795 of the family's 1533-position model. The record is from RNAcentral.